AAAGAAAAAUGCCUUUUAGAAUUGUUUUUUUGGUCAAAACCUUUUGGAAUGUUUACACGGAAAAAACUUUUCUUUACAAAGAUUUUUUUUUCCUUUUUGGUGUUUAUAGUUUGAUCACUUAUCGAGUUGCUCUUCCAUUUUCCGGAUUAGAUCUUCGCUUUACAAUAUUUGUUGUGUUUUUCAUCCCAAAACAGAAUUGUUCUUAACGUUUCUGUGACUCUGUCUUUUAUAUCUGUUUUUUUUGUUUCCUAAUAAAAUCCAAGUUUUGUUGAUCGGUUUGUUCAAGUUUCUACUCUCUUUUCAUUGGUGUAUAGUGUAUUUGGUUAGCAUGAAAUCAUCAUAUCCCAAAUGCUCCCGUGGAUUUUUUUUCUCAUAGUUAUUUAUCCUCAACCUUUACUCUCCGAAGAAAUCAAUCUUUGCCUCUAAGUUUGGGUACAAUAUUUUUAAGAGAUGAAGUCCUGACUUUUCGAUGAAGGUGAAGAUUUCCUUGGUGGCAGAGGGAUAAAGAGAGCGGAAUAAUCAAAUGGAAUCAAACUGUAGGUUGAAUUGCAGCUCCGGAAUUGUUUCCCGGUUACUGCACAAUUUACUCUCUUUGAGUCAACAGGUAGCCUCCAUUAAACUUUAUUCAAAGACAAGUGGGAUAAGAAGGUGGCUUUCAUAUGUUUAACCUAAUUAUGUAAUGGGCUUAGAAAUGGGUUAAUCUUUGUAAUGAGUUUAAGUUUGA
Molecule: long non-coding RNA, 724 nt
Organism: Raphanus sativus (radish)
Lineage: Eukaryota; Viridiplantae; Streptophyta; Magnoliopsida; Brassicales; Brassicaceae
Exons: 2
Source: RefSeq, a predicted model, not a curated record